Molecule: ribosomal RNA, 253 nt
Filed under: uncultured bacterium
Lineage: Bacteria
Description: partial 16S ribosomal RNA
Rfam family: Bacterial small subunit ribosomal RNA
Source: RNAcentral
UACAGAGGUGGCAAGCGUUGUUCGGAAUUACUGGGCGUAAAGCGUGCGCAGGCGGUUCUGUAAGUCAGAUGUGAAAGCCCCGGGCUUAACCUGGGAAUGGCAUUUGGGACUGCAAGGCUUGAGUGCGGCAGAGGAGACUGGAAUUCCUGGUGUAGCAGUGAAAUGCGUAGAUAUCAGGAGGAAUACCGAUGGCGAAGGCAGGUCUCUGGGCUGACACUGACGCUCAUGCACGAAAGCGUGGGGAGCAAACAGG